GGCCAGAGGGGCUCCUGCGCGCUCCCAGGUCUGUGGCGACGCCGACCGCCGUCCCCUGCCCGAGGCGCGCUGCUGUGGGAAAACAGCAGUCGCGGUAUUAAUGGUCCGGGCUCUACGACAGGCUCGACAUAGAAGGAGAUGGCUGAGGAGCCGGAGGCCGUGCUCCCGGUCCCUCCUUCGGGUGCGGCGGACGGCGAAGGGCCUACGGACGUCUCCCCAGGAACAGCCACGCCGGAGCCCCCUUCUUCCGCCGCAGUCUCCCCGGGAACGGAGGAACCUGCCGGCGACACCAAGAAAAAAAUUGAUAUCCUGCUAAAGGCUGUGGGAGACACCCCUAUAAUGAAAACAAAGAAGUGGGCUGUAGAGCGAACCCGAACCAUCCAAGGACUCAUUGACUUCAUCAAAAAGUUCCUUAAACUUGUGGCUUCAGAACAGUUGUUUAUUUAUGUGAAUCAGUCAUUUGCCCCUUCCCCUGACCAGGAAGUUGGAACCCUCUAUGAGAGGCCUGGUGCACAGAUUCUGCACCGGUGGGGUCCUCGGCCUGGCCUGCAGGGAUCAAGCUGAAACCAGCUCUCUGACAUCCCCCAAGGUGUCCCGGAUUAUGAGUGGGCAAUUCUCAGUGUUUUGGCAGUGAUGGUAAACUGGUCCUACAUUACUGCAAAUCUCAGGCAUGGGGAUGAACAACAGAGAAAAAGAUCUUGAUAACUAAAAAUGAAUCUUCACAAAGGACACAGCUCUGAAAAGUUUGAUACUUAUGGCAAGAUACUUGUGGAUAUGAUCUCAGCAUGUUAUCUGCUAAGACCCAUGUUUAUGCAUGUAAAAAAUCCAUAGAGUUGACCCACAAAAAUGUGAUUUGCAUUAAUACAGGAAUCAUCGUGAAAGAUUGACAUUAGAGUAUAUACAGUACUACAACUAUUGCUCCAGAUAUGCCUCCAGGAUAUUGAAAAGGAGACUAAGAUUGUAUAAAGCCUCUUAUUUAUUU
This is an RNA transcript of Myotis lucifugus (little brown bat), 982 nucleotides long. It is a transcript of the gene named autophagy related 12, with no coding region annotated. The transcript has 6 exons. Lineage: Eukaryota; Metazoa; Chordata; Mammalia; Chiroptera; Vespertilionidae. The record is from RefSeq and is a predicted model, not a curated record.